GAACGGUAGCACAGAGAGCUUGCUCUUGGGUGACGAGUGGCGGACGGGUGAGUAAUGUCUGGGAAACUGCCCGAUGGAGGGGGAUAACUACUGGAAACGGUAGCUAAUACCGCAUAACGUCGCAAGACCAAAGAGGGGGACCUUCGGGCCUCUUGCCAUCGGAUGUGCCCAGAUGGGAUUAGCUAGUAGGUGGGGUAACGGCUCACCUAGGCGACGAUCCCUAGCUGGUCUGAGAGGAUGACCAGCCACACUGGAACUGAGACACGGUCCAGACUCCUACGGGAGGCAGCAGUGGGGAAUAUUGCACAAUGGGCGCAAGCCUGAUGCAGCCAUGCCGCGUGUAUGAAGAAGGCCUUCGGGUUGUAAAGUACUUUCAGCGAGGAGGAAGGCGUUGUGGUUAAUAACCGCAGCGAUUGACGUUACUCGCAGAAGAAGCACCGGCUAACUCCGUGCCAGCAGCCGCGGUAAUACGGAGGGUGCAAGCGUUAAUCGGAAUUACUGGGCGUAAAGCGCACGCAGGCGGUCUGUCAAGUCGGAUGUGAAAUCCCCGGGCUCAACCUGGGAACUGCAUCCGAAACUGGCAGGCUAGAGUCUUGUAGAGGGGGGUAGAAUUCCAGGUGUAGCGGUGAAAUGCGUAGAGAUCUGGAGGA
This 650-nucleotide ribosomal RNA is filed under the name uncultured bacterium. Its description in RNAcentral is "bacterial SSU rRNA". It matches the Rfam family "Bacterial small subunit ribosomal RNA", at positions 64 to 705 of the family's 1533-position model. The record is from RNAcentral.